CGCUCGUAGUCGGAUUUCGGGGCGAUCCCGCCGGUCUGCCGUUGGGUAUGCACUGGUGGGCGCGUCCUUCCUUCCGGAGACCGUUCCUACUCUUAGCUGAGCGGGGACGGGAGACGGAUCGUUUACUUUGAAAAAAUCAGAGUGUUUCAAGCAGGCAUUUGCUCUUGCAUGGAUUAGCAUGGGAUAAUGAAAUAGGACUUUGGUGCUAUUUUGUUGGUUUCGAACACCGAAAGUAAUGAUUAACAGGGACAGUCAGGGGCACUCGUAUUCCGCCGAGAGAGGUGAAAUUCUCAGACCAGCGGAAGACGAACCACUGCGAAAGCAUUUGCCAGGGAUGUUUUCACUGAUCAAGAACGAAAGUUAGGGGAUCGAAGACGAUCAGAUACCGUCGUAGUCUUAACCAUAAACCAUGCCGACUAGGGAUCCGUGGGUGUUCUUUCUUGACCCCAUGGGCACCUUACGGGAAACUAAAGUCUUUGGGUUCCGGGGGGAGUAUGGUCGCAAGGCUGAAACUUAAAGGAAUUGACGGAAGGGCACCACCAGGAGUGGAGCCUGCGGCUUAAUUUGACUCAACACGGGGAAACUUACCAGGUCCAGACAUUGUGAGGAUUGACAGAUUGAGAGCUCUUUCUUGAUUC
RNAcentral lists this ribosomal RNA (638 nucleotides) under Chrysochromulina sp. RCC4210. RNAcentral's name for it is "SSU rRNA". It matches the Rfam family "Eukaryotic small subunit ribosomal RNA", at positions 625 to 1268 of the family's 1831-position model. Lineage: Eukaryota; Haptophyta; Prymnesiales; Chrysochromulinaceae. The record is from RNAcentral.